RNAcentral lists this ribosomal RNA (429 nucleotides) under Acidobacteriota bacterium. Its description in RNAcentral is "Acidobacteria bacterium partial 16S ribosomal RNA". It matches the Rfam family "Bacterial small subunit ribosomal RNA", at positions 355 to 776 of the family's 1533-position model. The record is from RNAcentral. Lineage: Bacteria; Pseudomonadati; Acidobacteriota.
UGGGGAAUUUUGGACAAUGGGGGAAACCCUGAUCCAGCCAUCCCGCGUGUGCGAUGAAGGCCUUCGGGUUGUAAAGCACUUUUGACAGGAAAGAAACGUCAUGGGUUAAUACCCCGUGAAACUGACGGUACCUGCAGAAUAAGCACCGGCUAACUACGUGCCAGCAGCCGCGGUAAUACGUAGGGUGCAAGCGUUAAUCGGAAUUACUGGGCGUAAAGCGUGCGCAGGCGGUUCGGAAAGAAAGAUGUGAAAUCCCAGAGCUCAACUUUGGAACUGCAUUUAUAACUACCGGGCUAGAGUGUGUCAGAGGGAGGUGGAAUUCCGCGUGUAGCAGUGAAAUGCGUAGAUAUGCGGAGGAACACCGAUGGCGAAGGCAGCCUCCUGGGAUAAAACUGACGCUCAUGCACGAAAGCGUGGGGAGCAAACAGG